CAAUAGCGUAUAUUAAAGUUGUUGCAGUUAAAAAGCUCGUAGUUGGAUUUCUGAUCGAGACAUCAGGUCGGGUCCGAGAGGAUCAUGUACUUUGAUUUUGUUUUGAUCAUCCUUGGGGAGAGCAUUUCUGGCAUUCAGUUGUCGGGAUUGGGAUCCUCAUCGUUUACUGUGAAAAAAUUAGAGUGUUCAAAGCAGGCCUCGGCCUCUGAAUACAUUAGCAUGGAAUAAUAAGAUAGGACUUUGGUGGUCUAUUUUGUUGGUUUGCACGCCAAAGUAAUGAUUAAUAGGGAUAGUUGGGGGUAUUCGUACUCAAUUGUCAGAGGUGAAAUUCUUGGAUUUAUGGAAGACGAACUACUGCGAAAGCAUUUACCAAGGAUGUUUUCAUUAA
This 388-nucleotide ribosomal RNA is filed under the name uncultured eukaryote. RNAcentral describes it as "partial 18S ribosomal RNA". It matches the Rfam family "Eukaryotic small subunit ribosomal RNA", at positions 592 to 976 of the family's 1831-position model. The record is from RNAcentral.